GUGCUAGCUCCAGCAGCACAUACACUAAAACGGAAUGAUACAGAAAAUAUUAGCAUGGCUCCUGAGCAAGGGUGACACACAAAUGACGUUUUCCAUAUUUUA
Molecule: small nuclear RNA, 102 nt
Organism: Ochotona curzoniae (black-lipped pika)
Lineage: Eukaryota; Metazoa; Chordata; Mammalia; Lagomorpha; Ochotonidae
Source: RefSeq, a predicted model, not a curated record